GCCGACAGGCGAGCGGCGACGCGCGGAACUUAGAAUCCUGUGACCCUUUGGCUCGUGCGGGUUCGAUCCCCGCCCUCGGCACCA
RNAcentral lists this transfer RNA (84 nucleotides) under Acidobacteriota bacterium. RNAcentral's name for it is "Acidobacteria bacterium tRNA-Leu". Lineage: Bacteria; Pseudomonadati; Acidobacteriota. The record is from RNAcentral.